Molecule: long non-coding RNA, 436 nt
Organism: Macaca mulatta (Rhesus monkey)
Lineage: Eukaryota; Metazoa; Chordata; Mammalia; Primates; Cercopithecidae
Source: RefSeq, a predicted model, not a curated record
GUGACAGGGGCAGCCCCCUUCUAUUGGGAAGGGUCCCGUCUGUCAGUUGAAGUAGCUGGAAGGACAGGCAGGAGCCCAGAGGGGCCCAGGUUCUUAACCACGGGGAGAAAUGGAUUGAGGCAGCCAAUGGCAGGUGGUACCAGAAACAGGGAGUCCAGAUUCUGGACUCAAGGUUCUCUAACUGGCUCCCAACCUCCUAAGCCACCCGCCCGCAGCCUUGACAGCAUAAGAAGUCGACGCCAUGUGACAAGCCAGGCGCAGCGGCUCAUGCCUGAAAUCCCAGCACUUUAGGAGGCCAAGUGGCCAGCAAAGUGCCAAGAUGAAGAACAUCACCAGCUCAGGACUCUACGUGACCGUAAUGCUCACAGCUCCUGGUCCACCUACUGUGGACAUGUAACAAGGGCAAGGAAUAGACCUUUGCUGCUUUGUUGUUGUU